GGGAGCAUAGUCUUGUACUUGAUGGCGACCGGCGCACGGGUGCGUAACGCGUAUGAAACCUAUCUAAUACAGGGGGAUAGCCCAGAGAAAUUUGGAUUAAUACCCCAUGGUACUGUUUUACUGCAUGGUAAAAUAGUUAAAGAUUUAUCGGUAUUAGAUGGUCAUGCGUUCUAUUAGUUAGUUGGUAAGGUAACGGCUUACCAAGGCAGCGAUAGAUAGGGGCCCUGAGGGGGGGAUCCCCCACACUGGUACUGAGACACGGACCAGACUCCUACGGGAGGCAGCAGUGAGGAAUAUUGGACAAUGGAGGCAACUCUGAUCCAACCAUGCCGCGUGAAGGAAGACUGCCCUAUGGGUUGUAAACUUCUUUUAUAGAGGAAGAAACGCAGAUACGUGUAUCUGUUUGACGGUACUCUACGAAUAAGGAUCGGCUAACUCCGUGCCAGCAGCCGCGGUAAUACGGAGGAUCCAAGCGUUAUCCGGAAUCAUUGGGUUUAAAGGGUCCGCAGGCUGUUGUUUAAGUCAGAGGUGAAAGUUUGCAGCUCAACUGUAAAAUUGCCUUUGAUACUGGAUAACUUGAGUUAUAAUGAAGUGGUUAGAAUAUGUAGUGUAGCGGUGAAAUGCAUAGAUAUUACAUAGAAUACCGAUUG
Molecule: ribosomal RNA, 650 nt
Filed under: uncultured bacterium
Lineage: Bacteria
Description: bacterial SSU rRNA
Rfam family: Bacterial small subunit ribosomal RNA
Source: RNAcentral